GACGAACCGUGCGAACGUUGUUCGGAAUCACUGGGCAUAAAGGGCGCGUAGGCGGCUUUUCAAGUCAGGGGUGAAAUCCGGCAGCUUAACUGUCGAAGUGCCUUUGAUACUGGGAAGCUCGAGGGAGGUAGGGGUGUGUGGAACUUCCGGUGGAGCGGUGAAAUGCGUUGAUAUCGGAAGGAACGCCGGUGGCGAAAGCGACGCACUGGACCUCUUCUGACGCUGAGGCGCGAAAGCUAGGGGAGCAAACGGG
RNAcentral lists this ribosomal RNA (253 nucleotides) under uncultured bacterium. RNAcentral's name for it is "partial 16S ribosomal RNA". It matches the Rfam family "Bacterial small subunit ribosomal RNA", at positions 524 to 776 of the family's 1533-position model. The record is from RNAcentral.